GACGAACGCUGGCGGCGUGCUUAACACAUGCAAGUCGAACGAAAAUACCAAGCUUGCUUGGUUGAUUAGUGGCGAACGGGUGAGUAACACGUGAGUAACCUGCCCCUUACUUUCCUGGAUAACUGCUCGAAAGGGUAGCUAAUACGGGAUAUUCUGACCAGCCUGCAUGGGUUGGUUUGGAAAGGUUGUUUUUCUGGUAAGGGAUGGGCUCGCGGCCUAUCAGCUUGUUGGUGGGGUGAUGGCCUACCAAGGCUUUGACGGGUAGCCGGCCUGAGAGGGUGGACGGUCACACUGGGACUGAGAUACGGCCCAGACUGCUACGGGAGGCAGCAGUGGGGAAUGUUGCGGAAUGGGGGCAAGCCUGAUGCAGCGACGCCGCGUGAGGGAUGAAUGCCUUCGGGUUGUAAACCUCUUUCGUCAGGGAACAAGGCACUGCUUUUUUGGUGGUGUUGAGGGUACCUGGAUAAGAAGCGCCGGCUAACUACGUG
RNAcentral lists this ribosomal RNA (488 nucleotides) under uncultured bacterium. RNAcentral's name for it is "partial 16S ribosomal RNA". It matches the Rfam family "Bacterial small subunit ribosomal RNA", at positions 28 to 507 of the family's 1533-position model. The record is from RNAcentral.